GCCGCGGUGCUCAGACGGGAGCGCCAGUUUGAAGGACUGGAAGAUGAUGGUUCGAAUCCAUCCCGCGGUUCCA
This 73-nucleotide transfer RNA is filed under the name Gallionellaceae bacterium. RNAcentral's name for it is "tRNA-Phe". It matches the Rfam family "tRNA". From Rfam's summary of the family: Transfer RNA (tRNA) molecules are approximately 80 nucleotides in length. Their secondary structure includes four short double-helical elements and three loops (D, anti-codon, and T loops). Lineage: Bacteria; Pseudomonadati; Pseudomonadota; Betaproteobacteria; Nitrosomonadales; Gallionellaceae. The record is from RNAcentral.